This 462-nucleotide ribosomal RNA is filed under the name Malus domestica (apple). RNAcentral's name for it is "rRNA MD01G0027200". It matches the Rfam family "Bacterial small subunit ribosomal RNA", at positions 51 to 528 of the family's 1533-position model. Lineage: Eukaryota; Viridiplantae; Streptophyta; Magnoliopsida; Rosales; Rosaceae. The record is from RNAcentral.
AUUUUAACUAGAUAACCAACAUUGAAAACCGUCUUUACAUUGGAUGGUUUGAUGGACGGGUGAGUAACGCAUAAGAACCUACCCUUGGGAGGGGAACAAUGGCUGGAACGGCUGCUAAUACCCCGUAUGCUAAGGAGUAAAAAGAGGAAUCCACCCAUGUGCGCAUGGGGGGGGGGGGCUUGUGUCUAAUUAGCUAGUUUAUGAGGUAAUAGCUUACCAAGGUAAUGAUCAGUUGCUGGUAUAAGAGAAUGAUUAGCCACACUGGGAUUGAGACAUGGCCCAGACUCUUACGGGAGGCAGCAAUGGGGAAUUUUUUGCCAUGGGUGCAAGCUUGAAAGAGCAAUGCCACGUGGAGGCAAAAGGCCUACAGGUCGUGAACUUCUUUUCCAGUGAAGAAGCAAUGAUGGUAUCUAGGGAAUAAGUAUCGAUUAAUUCUGUGCCAGCAGCUGCGGAGAAGAUCAC